AUGACGCUGGCGGCAUGCUUUACACCUGCAAGGUUAAACGGUAACGCGGGCUUCGGCCUGGCGACGAGUGGCGGACGGGUGAGUAAUGCAUCGGAACGUAUCCAUUUGUGGGGGAUAGCCCGGCGAAAGCCGGAUUAAUACCGCAUAAGCUCUGAGGAGGAAAGCGGGGGACCUUCGGGCCUCGCGCUGAUGGAGCGGCUGAUGUCGGAUUAGCUUGUUGGUAGGGUAAAGGCCUACCAAGGCGACGAUCCGUAGCUGGUCUGAGAGGAUGAUCAGCCACACUGGAACUGAGACACGGUCCAGACUCCUACGGGAGGCAGCAGUGGGGAAUUUUGGACAAUGGGGGAAACCCUGAUCCAGCCAUGCCGCGUGCGGGAAGAAGGCCCUCGGGUUGUAAACCGCUUUCAGACGGAAAGAAAUAGCGCAAGUUAAUACCUUGUGUUGAUGACGGUACCGUCAGAAGAAGCACCGGCUAACUACGUGCCAGCAGCCGCGGUAAUACGUAGGGCGCGAGCGUUAAUCGGAAUUACUGGGCGUAAAGCGUGCGCAGGCGGUUCUCUAAGACAGGUGUGAAAUCCCCGGGCUUAACCUGGGAAUGCGCUUGUGUCUGGAGGACUAGAGUGUGGAACGAGGGGGAUGGAAUCCUGGUUGUAGCAGUGAAAUGCGUACAUCAUCACGGAGGAACCACCGAUUGUGACGAAAGGGCCAGGUCCCCCUGGGGCACAACAACUUGAACGCUUCAAUGCACGAAAAAGCGUGGGGGAGCCAACAGCGGGAUUAAUCCCCCUGGUAGUUCCAACCGCCCCUAAAACGAACGUUCAACCUAUUGUCGGGGAAAGGGGAAUCUUUGAGCACCGUCAUAACGCAUUGAAGUUACACGCCUGGGAUACGCCGAAGGUAAACUCAAGGAAUAGG
RNAcentral lists this ribosomal RNA (915 nucleotides) under uncultured beta proteobacterium. Its description in RNAcentral is "bacterial SSU rRNA". It matches the Rfam family "Bacterial small subunit ribosomal RNA", at positions 30 to 913 of the family's 1533-position model. Lineage: Bacteria; Pseudomonadati; Pseudomonadota; Betaproteobacteria. The record is from RNAcentral.